This 424-nucleotide ribosomal RNA is filed under the name uncultured bacterium. RNAcentral describes it as "bacterial SSU rRNA". It matches the Rfam family "Bacterial small subunit ribosomal RNA", at positions 358 to 773 of the family's 1533-position model. The record is from RNAcentral.
GGAAUUUUGCGCAAUGGGCGAAAGCCUGACGCAGCAACGCCGCGUGAGGGAUGAAGGCCCUCGUGUCGUAAACCUCUGUCGGAGGGGAAGAACGGUUUCCGUUCGAAUAGUGCGGAAGCCUGACGGUACCUUCCAAGGAAGCACCGGCUAACUCCGUCCCAGCAGCCGCGGUAAUACGGAGGGUGCAAGCGUUGUUCGGCAUCAUUGGGCGUAGAGCGCGUGUAGGCGGCUUGGCAAGUCGGGUGUGAAAUCCCGGGGCCCAACCCCGGAACUGCAUUCGAAACUGCCUCGCUAGAGUCCCGGAGAGGAAGGCGGAAUUCCCGGUGUAGAGGUGAAAUUCGUAGAUAUCGGGAGGAACACCAGUGGCGAAGGCGGCCUUCUGGACGGUGACUGACGCUGAGACGCGAAAGCGUGGGGAGCGAAC